UAUAAACAGGCAGCAGAUGGUAACCAUUAU
RNAcentral lists this non-coding RNA (30 nucleotides) under Mus musculus (house mouse). The record is from RNAcentral. Lineage: Eukaryota; Metazoa; Chordata; Mammalia; Rodentia; Muridae.